This 292-nucleotide long non-coding RNA is filed under the name Mus spretus (western wild mouse). RNAcentral's name for it is "lncRNA (ENSMSPG00010019464.1)". The record is from RNAcentral. Lineage: Eukaryota; Metazoa; Chordata; Mammalia; Rodentia; Muridae.
CUCUAUGCCUGUUCUUCAACUGCUGUGGCUACCACUAUUCCAAGAGACAGAAUAAGAAAGUUAAAGACAACAAGAAAUGGGUCUGUAAGGCCCGAAGUGAGUGGUCUGGAAAACGACUGGGCUCACUCACAUGAAUAUAAGGCUAAUCCAUUCAGGAACAGACUAAGUCUCGUCCUGACCUACUUGUUGUUUUCCUGUAAACACGACUCAAGGUUUUAUCCACUUGAUCAACAGGUAAGUUCAUAGUAAACCAGAGUAACCAUUUUUGUACAGUGAAUAAAGUAUUUUUAAU